Molecule: ribosomal RNA, 461 nt
Filed under: uncultured bacterium
Lineage: Bacteria
Description: SSU rRNA
Rfam family: Bacterial small subunit ribosomal RNA
Source: RNAcentral
AGAAUCAACGCUAGCGGCGUGCCUAACACAUGCAAGUCGAACGAGAAAGUGGAGCAAUCCAUGAGUAAAGUGGUGCACGGGUGAGUAACACGUGACUAACCUACCCUCGAGUGGGGAAUAACUUCGGGAAACCGAGGCUAAUACCGCAUAAAACCUAAGGGUCAAAGGAGCAAUCCGUUUGAGGAGGGGGUCGCGGCAGAUUAGUUAGUUGGCGGGGUAAUGGCCCACCAAGACGAUGAUCUGUAUCCGGCCUGAGAGGGCGCACGGACACACUGGAACUGAAACACGGUCCAGACUCCUACGGGAGGCAGCAGUGGGGAAUUUUGCGCAAUGGGGGAAACCCUGACGCAGCAAACGCCGCGUGGAGGAUGAAAUCCCUUGGGAUGUAAACUCCUUUCGAUCGGGAAGAUAAUGACGGUACCGGAAGAAGAAGCCCCGGCUAACUUCGUGCCAGUAGCCGC